RNAcentral lists this long non-coding RNA (216 nucleotides) under Elaeis guineensis (African oil palm). RNAcentral describes it as "long non-coding RNA (EGUI_LNC059900)". The record is from RNAcentral. Lineage: Eukaryota; Viridiplantae; Streptophyta; Magnoliopsida; Arecales; Arecaceae.
CCAUAGGACCCACUAAAGCCUGAGACAAUCAGAGCUGAAGUAGACAAUACCUCAUGCAUGUGGGAGCGAAGAGCGAUCUAACCAUCCGACCCUUAACCACAACAAGACACAUGUUGGAUUCUAAUUAAUUAGCUUACCAAUCCCAUGUAUAAGUAAAACUUUACUCUGAGGCAUAUGAAUGUGACCAUGCCAGAAGGUAUCACAGUAGCACACCAC